Molecule: non-coding RNA, 74 nt
Organism: Pilaira anomala
Lineage: Eukaryota; Fungi; Mucoromycota; Mucoromycetes; Mucorales; Mucoraceae
Source: the annotation of a GenBank genome assembly
GCCUCAAUAGCUCCAACGGCUAGAGCGUCCCUCUCGUAAAGGGAAGGUUGAGUGUUCGAAUCACUCUUGAGGCA